GUGCUCACUUUGGCAGCACAUAUACUGAAACUGGAAUGAUACAGAAAAGAUUAGCAAGGCUCCUGUGCAAGGAUGAUACCCAAAUUUGUGAAACAUUCCAUAUUUAA
RNAcentral lists this small nuclear RNA (107 nucleotides) under Castor canadensis (American beaver). The record is from RNAcentral. Lineage: Eukaryota; Metazoa; Chordata; Mammalia; Rodentia; Castoridae.